This 75-nucleotide transfer RNA is filed under the name Acidobacteriota bacterium. RNAcentral's name for it is "Acidobacteria bacterium (soil metagenome) tRNA-His". It matches the Rfam family "tRNA". From Rfam's summary of the family: Transfer RNA (tRNA) molecules are approximately 80 nucleotides in length. Their secondary structure includes four short double-helical elements and three loops (D, anti-codon, and T loops). Further hydrogen bonds mediate the characteristic L-shaped molecular structure. tRNAs have two regions of fundamental functional importance: the anti-codon, which is responsible for specific mRNA codon recognition, and the 3' end, to which the tRNAs corresponding amino acid is attached (by aminoacyl-tRNA synthetases). tRNAs cope with the degeneracy of the genetic code in two manners: having more than one tRNA (with a specific anti-codon) for a particular amino acid; and 'wobble' base-pairing, i.e. permitting non-standard base-pairing at the 3rd anti-codon position. The record is from RNAcentral. Lineage: Bacteria; Pseudomonadati; Acidobacteriota.
UUGGCUGUAGCUCAACGGCAGAGCGCCGCGCUGUGAACGCGGAGACGACGAGUUCAACUCUCGCCAGCCAACCCA